Molecule: long non-coding RNA, 277 nt
Filed under: Arabidopsis lyrata
Lineage: Eukaryota; Viridiplantae; Streptophyta; Magnoliopsida; Brassicales; Brassicaceae
Description: long non-coding RNA (ALYR_LNC002647)
Source: RNAcentral
GCUCAUCAGAUUUCAUGUUAGUUGUUUGACGCUGACUGAGUAUCACAGGCAUAACUGGGGCUGGAGAAGUCUUAGCUUGUCGUGUUGAUGUUACAGGAGACUCAUCAGAUGUCAGAUUAGUAGCUGAAGGCCUAUCAGGUCGUGUUGAUGUUACAGGAGACUCAUCAGAUGUCAAAUUAGUGGCUGAAGGCCUAUGAGGUUGUGUUGAUGUUACAGGAGGCUCAUCAGAUUUCAUUUUUGUUGUCUGAUUGAGUAUCAUAGGCAUGACUGGGGCUGG